This 376-nucleotide ribosomal RNA is filed under the name uncultured organism. Its description in RNAcentral is "partial 16S ribosomal RNA". It matches the Rfam family "Bacterial small subunit ribosomal RNA", at positions 527 to 896 of the family's 1533-position model. The record is from RNAcentral.
GAAGGUGGCAAGCGUUGUUCGGGAAUCACUGGGGCUUAAAGCGCGCGUAGGCGGAAUGGACAGUGUCCUGUGAAAUCCCCCCGGGCUUAACCGAGGGAAUUGCGGGGCAUACUACCAUUCUUGAGGCAAGUAGGGGUGCAUGGAACUCUUGGUGGAGCGGUGGAAUGCGUAGAUAUCAAGAGGAACGCCGAUGGAGAAAUCAGUGCACUGGGCUUGAUCUGACGCUGAGGCGCGAAAGCGUGGGGAGCGAAAGGGAUUAGAUACCCCUGUAGUCCACGCCGUAAACGAUGUCUACUAGGUUGUGAAUGUUCUGACACAGGCACAGCCGAAGCAAAAGUGUUAAGUAGACCGCCUGGGGAGUACGGCCGCAAGGCUA